Nerophis ophidion (straightnose pipefish) is the source of this 2537-nucleotide long non-coding RNA. RefSeq lists it as uncharacterized. The record is from RefSeq and is a predicted model, not a curated record. The transcript has 2 exons. NCBI's taxonomy places the organism in Eukaryota, Metazoa, Chordata, Actinopteri, Syngnathiformes, Syngnathidae.
UACACUACUGCAAACAUCGCGCACAUAGAACUUUUCUAGCAGGUGGGACUCUGAAGUGUACGGCGGAAAAAUUGGCUCGAAAAGUUAGCAUGUGUCAAGUACAGAGUUACAUGACUCUGAGGUAAAUAGUUACAAAAAUGAAUCUAUUAAGUUAGCAUGAUAAUGUAAGCAAGUAACACGUAUCAAGUUAAAUAUAAUUCACUAAGUUAUAUGACUUUCACGUUUAUGGCGGGAAAAGGGGCUCGAAAAGUUAGCAUGUGUCAAGUACCGAGUUACAUGACUCUGAGGUAAAUAGUUACAAAAAUGAAUCUAUUAAGUUAGCAUGAUAAUGUAAGCAAGUAACACGUAUCAAGUUAAAUAUAAUUCACUAAGUUAUAUGACUUUCACGUUUAUGGCGGGAAAAGGGGCUCGAAAAGUUAGCAUGUGUCAAGUACCGAGUUACAUGACUCUGAGGUAAAUAGUUACAAAAAUGAAUCUAUUAAGUUAGCAUGAUAAUGUAAGCAAGUAACACGUAUCAAGUAAAAUAUAAUUCACUAAGUUAUAUGACUUUGACGUUUAUGGCGGGAAAAUUGGCUCACAAAGUUAGCAUGUGUCAAGUACCGAGUUACAUGACUCUGAGGUAAAUAGUUGCAAACUGAGCCUAUUAAGUUAGCAUGCUAACAGUUAGCAAGUAACACGUACCAAGUAAUAUGACUGUGAAGUGUACGGCGACAAAAUUGGCUCGAAAAGUUAGCAUAUGUCAAGUACCAAGUUACAUGACUCUGAGGUAAAUCGUUGCAAAACUGAAUCUAUUAAGUUAGCAUGAUAAUGUAAGCAAGUAACACGCAUCAAGUUAAAUAUAAUUCACUAAGUUAUAUGACUUUGACGUUUAUGGCGGGAAAAUGGGCUCAAAAAGUUAGCAUGUGUCAAGUACCAAGUUACAUGACUCUGAGGUAAAUAGUUACAAAACUGAAUCUAUUAAGUUAGCAUGAUAAUGUAAGCAAGUAACAUGUAUCAAGUUAAAUAUAAUUCACUAAAUUCACUAAGUUAUAUGACUUUGACGUUUAUGGCGGGAAAAGGGGCUCAAAAAGUUAGCAUGUGUCAAGUACCGAGUUACAUGACUCUGAGGUAAAUAGUUGCAAAACUGAAUCUAUUAAGUUAGCAUGAUAAUGUAAGCAAGUAACACGUAUCAAUUAAAAUAUAAUUCACUAAAUUCACUAAGUUAUAUGACUUUGACGUUUAUGGCGGGAAAAGGGGCUCGAAAAGUUAGCAUGUGUCAAGUACUCAGUUACAUGACUCUGAGGUAAAUAGUUGCAAAACUGAAUCCAUUAAGUUAGCAUGAUAAUGUAAGCAAGUAACACGCAUCAAGUAAAAUAUAAUUCACUAAGUUAUAUGACUUUGACGUUUAUGGCAGGAAAAGGGGCUCACAAAGUUAGCAUAUGUCAAGUACCGGGUUACAUGACUCUGAGGUAAAUAGUUGCAAACUGAGCCUAUUAAGUUAGCAUGCUAACAGUUAGCAAGUAACACGUACCAAGUAAUAUGACUGUGAAGUGUACGGCGACAAAAUUGGCUCAAAAAGGUAGCAUGUGUCAAGUAGUAAAUGGAAUAAUUGGUUUUGAAAUUAGCCAAACAGUUUUCAUGCUAACAUUGGCAUGCUAUCAUGCUAACAGUAAUAUGCUAACAGUUAGCAAGUGUCACGUACCAAGUUUUAUGAUUCUGGAGUAAAUGGUUGUAAAAUUAGCCAAACGGUUUUCGUGCAAACAUUGGCAUGCUAUCAUGCUAACAAUAAUAUGCUAACAGUUAGCAAGUGUCACGUACCAAGUUUUAUGAUUCUGGAGUAAAUGGUUGUAAAAUUAGCCAAACAGUUUUCAUGCUAAUAUGGGCAUGCUAUCAUGCUAACAAUAACAUGCUACAGUAAAUGGUUGUAAAAUUAGCCAAAACGUUUUCAUGCUAACAUUGGCAUGCUAUCAUGCUAACAAUAUCAUGCUAACAAUUAGCAAGUGUCACGUACCAAGUUUUAUGACUUUAGAGUUAAUGGUUGUAAAAUUAGCCAAACAGUUUUCAUGCAAACAUUGGCAUGCUAUCAUGCUAACAAUAAUAUGCUAACAGUUAGCAAGUGUCACGUACCAAGUUUUAUGAUUCUGGAGUAAAUGGCUGUAAAAUUAGCCAAACAGUUUUCAUGCAAACAUUGGCAUGCUAUCAUGCUAACAAUAUCAUGCUAACAGUUAGCAAGUUUCACGUACCAAGUUUUAUGAUUCUGAAGUAAAUGGCUGUAAAAUUAGCCAAACAGUUUUCAUGCAAAUAUUGGCAUGCUAUCAUGCUAACAAUAACAUGCUAACAGUUAGCAAGUGUCACAUACCAAGUUAUAUGAUUCUGAAGUGUACGGUGGCUGAAUUGGCUAACAAGUUAGCAUAUGUCAAGUGCUAAAUGAUAUAACUCUGGGGUAAAUGGUUGCAAACUUAGCCAAAAAAAGUUAGCAUGUUAACAAUUAACGUGUUAGUAUGAAGUUAGCGGGGGUUGGGCGGCACUGUCCGAAUAAAAUUGUGAUAUUACAAAAA